CGACCGGCGCACGGGUGAGUAACGCGUAUCCAACCUCGCCCACCACGUUGGGAUAACCUUGCGAAAGUAAGACUAAUACCCAAUGAUAUCUCUAGAAGACAUCUGAAAGAGAUUAAAGAUUUAUCGGUGAUGGAUGGGGAUGCGUCUGAUUAGCUUGUUGGCGGGGUAACGGCCCACCAAGGCGACGAUCAGUAGGGGUUCUGAGAGGAAGGUCCCCCACAUUGGAACUGAGACACGGUCCAA
Molecule: ribosomal RNA, 243 nt
Filed under: uncultured bacterium
Lineage: Bacteria
Description: partial 16S ribosomal RNA
Rfam family: Bacterial small subunit ribosomal RNA
Source: RNAcentral